UACGUAGGUGGCAAGCGUUGUCCGGAUUUAUUGGGUUUAAAGGGUGCGUAGGCGGUCAUGUAAGUCAGUGGUGAAAUCCGGCAGCUCAACUGUCGAUGUGCCAUUGAUACUGUAUGACUUGAGUACAGACGAGGUAGGCGGAAUUGACGGUGUAGCGGUGAAAUGCUUAGAUAUCGUCAAGAACACCGAUAGCGAAGGCAGCUUACUAGACUGUAACUGACGCUGAUGCACGAAAGUGUGGGGAUCAAACAGGAUUAGAUACCCCCGUAGUCC
RNAcentral lists this ribosomal RNA (273 nucleotides) under uncultured bacterium. RNAcentral describes it as "partial 16S ribosomal RNA". It matches the Rfam family "Bacterial small subunit ribosomal RNA", at positions 524 to 796 of the family's 1533-position model. The record is from RNAcentral.